RNAcentral lists this unclassified non-coding RNA (267 nucleotides) under uncultured fungus. RNAcentral's name for it is "partial contains small subunit ribosomal RNA, internal transcribed spacer 1, and 5.8S ribosomal RNA". The stretch from base 1 to 73 matches the Rfam family "Eukaryotic small subunit ribosomal RNA", at positions 1759 to 1831 of the family's 1831-position model. Lineage: Eukaryota; Fungi. The record is from RNAcentral.
GCAAACUUGGUCAUUUAGAGGAAGUAAAAGUCGUAACAAGGUCUCCGUAGGUGAACCUGCGGAGGGAUCAUUACUGAGUGAGGGCCUCUGGCCCGACCUCCCACCCUAUGUUGUUUGACUAUGUUGCCUCGGGGGCGACCCGGCCUUUUCGGUCGGGGCCCCCGGUGGACUCUUAAACUCUGCAUCUUAGCGUCUGAGUAUAAAGUUAAAUCAAUCAAAACUUUCAACAACGGAUCUCUUGGUUCUGGCAUCGAUGAAGAACGCAGC